This 239-nucleotide long non-coding RNA is filed under the name Elaeis guineensis (African oil palm). RNAcentral describes it as "long non-coding RNA (EGUI_LNC037791)". Lineage: Eukaryota; Viridiplantae; Streptophyta; Magnoliopsida; Arecales; Arecaceae. The record is from RNAcentral.
CAACUGUUAGAAAACUGGAUCGAUAGCAUGUAAAGAUUUUAAAAUUUUAUCAAAAAUACAGCGAAAAAAUAAAAUGGGUUAAACCCUUUAACCCCACAUGUAAAAGAUCAAAUCUAAUCCUACACAAGUCUAGGAGAAAAUAUAUAUAUACAAUCUAAAAUUUAGAGAUAAGUAUGAGAUCAGAUCUCAUUAUCUUGGUGCAGAUAGAUAUUCACUACUUUUGAUGAUUACAGAUUCGU